CUCCUAGGGGGGCAGCAGUGGGGAAUAUUGGGCAAUGGGCGCAAGCCUGACCCAGCAACGCCGCGUGAAGGAAGAAGGCUUUCGGGUUGUAAACCUCUUUUGCCGGGGAGCAAGGGCGGGGACGUGUCCCGGCCCGGAGAGUACCCGGAGAAAAAGCAUCGGCUAACUCCGUGCCAGCAGCCGCGGUAAUACGGAGGAUGCGAGCGUUAUCCGGAUUUAUUGGGUUUAAAGGGUGCGUAGGCGGGCUUUUAAGUCAGCGGUAAAAAUUCGGGGCUUAACCCCGUCCGGUCGUUGAAACUGGGGGG
Molecule: ribosomal RNA, 305 nt
Filed under: uncultured bacterium
Lineage: Bacteria
Description: bacterial SSU rRNA
Rfam family: Bacterial small subunit ribosomal RNA
Source: RNAcentral